This 253-nucleotide ribosomal RNA is filed under the name uncultured bacterium. Its description in RNAcentral is "partial 16S ribosomal RNA". It matches the Rfam family "Bacterial small subunit ribosomal RNA", at positions 524 to 776 of the family's 1533-position model. The record is from RNAcentral.
UACAGAGGGUGCGAGCGUUGUUCGGAAUUAUUGGGCGUAAAGCGCUUGUAGGCGGCCUGUCAAGUCGCGUGUGAAAUCCCGAGGCUCAACCUCGGAACUGCCUUCGAUACUGCGGGUCUCGAGUCCGGGAGAGGUGAGUGGAAUUCCUAGUGUAGAGGUGAAAUUCGUAGAUAUCGUGAGGAAGACCAGUGGCGAAGGCGGAUCUCUGGACAGUUCCUGACGCUGAGGCGCGAAGGCCGGGGGAGCAAACGGG